GAGUUUGAUCCUGGCUCAGGAGGAACGCUGGCGGCGUGCCUAACACAUGCAAGUCGAGCGAGAAAUAAAGAAACGGAGAAUUCGUUCAAAGAUUCUUUAUGGAACAGCGGCGGACGGGUGAGUAACGCGUAGGCAACCUGCCUCAUACAAAGGGAUAGCCUCGGGAAACCGGGAUUAAAACCUUAUAAAACCGAAGGAGCACAUGCUUCAUCGGUCAAAGAUUUAUCGGUAUGAGAUGGGCCUGCGUCUGAUUAGCUGGUUGGUGAGGUAACGGCUCACCAAGGCGACGAUCAGUAGCCGACCUGAGAGGGUAAACGGCCACAUUGGAACUGAGACACGGUCCAAACUCCUACGGGAGGCAGCAGUGGGGAAUAUUGCACAAUGGGCGAAAGCCUGAUGCAGCAACGCCGCGUGAGCUAUGAAGGCCCUUGGGUCGUAAAACUCUGUUGAGAGGGAAGAAAAAAAUGACGGACCU
This 475-nucleotide ribosomal RNA is filed under the name Peptostreptococcaceae bacterium canine oral taxon 066. Its description in RNAcentral is "bacterial SSU rRNA". It matches the Rfam family "Bacterial small subunit ribosomal RNA", at positions 9 to 480 of the family's 1533-position model. The record is from RNAcentral. Lineage: Bacteria; Bacillati; Bacillota; Clostridia; Peptostreptococcales; Peptostreptococcaceae.